CUCCCCCAAGAGUCCACAUCGACGGGGAGGUUUGGCACCUCGAUGUCGGCUCAUCGCAUCCUGGGGCUGUAGUCGGUCCCAAGGGUUGGGCUGUUCGCCCAUUAAAGCGGUACGCGAGCUGGGUUCAGAACGUCGUGAGACAGUUCGGUCCCUAUCCGUCGUGGGCGUAGGAAAUUUGAGAGGAGCUGUCCUUAGUACGAGAGGACCGGGAUGGACACACCGCUGGUGUACCAGUUGUCUUGCCAAAGGCAUCGCUGGGUAGCUAUGUGUGGAAGGGAUAAGUGCUGAAAGCAUCUAAGCAUGAAGCCCCCCUCAAGAUGAGAUUUCCCAUAGCGUAAGCUAGUAAGAUCCCUGAAAGAUGAUCAGGUUGAUAGGUCAGAGGUGGAAGCGUGGCGACAUGUGUAGCUGACUGAUACUAAUCGAUCGAGGACUUAACCAAAC
Molecule: ribosomal RNA, 441 nt
Filed under: Priestia aryabhattai
Lineage: Bacteria; Bacillati; Bacillota; Bacilli; Caryophanales; Bacillaceae
Description: bacterial LSU rRNA
Rfam family: Bacterial large subunit ribosomal RNA
Source: RNAcentral